AUAUAUAUAUAUAUAUAUUUUUUUUUACUGGGUAGUCGUUACUCGAAAAUGAUGAUGCAUGAAAUAAUUGCACUCGAAUUUUUGUUCUCUGUAUCCCACCCAUUUCAUUCACCCACGUUAUAUUACAAAAUAUCUUUUUGUAGUCUCUCUUUAUAUUACUUAACCUAACAUUUUCAUAUUCCUUCUCAAAUGUAUCAUCUUGUUACAGCAGAGCGCAACGCAUCCUAGAAAAAACCUCUUGAAAUCUCCCACUCCAAUCUCCCUACGCUGCAUAGAAACAUAGAAAAUUAGUUCGUUGUGAAAAAUUGAGACAGGUGCAGGUGCAACGGAAGCUGUAUGCAACAGAGUACACGAAGCUGACUAAGCAGGUGCUUCUGGGCCCGCGUAUGCGAUACUUGCCUUUUGGUACGAAAGGGUGAAGGAGAAGAAGAAGCGGGGUUGAUAGUGUGGUAAACCAAGAGGAAAGGACAAACCAAUCCAGAGGGAGGCCGUACUACGACGUAGUACUCCAGUGGGAUCAGGGUUCAAAGCCCGGUCAACACCAUGUCUAUGGUUCUUUCUCCUACUACCUUUCUCUUUCUCUCCAUCGCGCUUUCCCCCUCUCUUCCCAAGCUUCCCCCACCCCGAUCUCUCGUUGUACCUCGGUUAUUUCAUGACCACUACACACACGUGCUAAGCAUCACCAUGGACCUCUCUCUCUUCCUCCUCUUCCGACUGUCUCUUUCUCCGAGCAUCGUGUUGGCCGCGGUGAUUCACCAUCGGUCGGAGAUAAGGGGCCAAUGAAAGGAAACCGUAGAGGGCAGCACCGGCGAAUACGUGCCGCUCCACUUGCCAGAGGAAAGGUGAUAUCGGGUAACGAAGAUGAAAAAUCACGAAUCAGUUCCUGGGCUCCUGUUUGUCCCGUUCCUCGGUAGUUUACGAUCAUCAUUUCACCUCGGGUAGAAAGCGAAAAGUAACAUUGUCGAGAAUUUUGCCUCGAAUCGAGAACUUCAUCGUCGGAGAGAUCAUUGCUACCAGUUUACGAGCUGACAUGUGGAUUCCGGUUAGUUAAGCUUGGAACGGCAUACUUUCAGCGCGGUGUAUACAGGCCAUCCUUAAAAUAUUGGUAUAUGAUUCAGAUACGUGUCCGUAAUAACGCGUCAGGAUAUGCAUGAAAAAGUUAGUAAACAGAGAAUGAAAGUCAAUCGUAAAAUAAAUUUACGCUCUUAGACUG
Apis mellifera (honey bee) is the source of this 1213-nucleotide long non-coding RNA. RefSeq lists it as uncharacterized. The transcript has 2 exons. The record is from RefSeq and is a predicted model, not a curated record. Lineage: Eukaryota; Metazoa; Arthropoda; Insecta; Hymenoptera; Apidae.